This 292-nucleotide long non-coding RNA is filed under the name Vitis vinifera (wine grape). RNAcentral's name for it is "long non-coding RNA (VVIN_LNC006601)". The record is from RNAcentral. Lineage: Eukaryota; Viridiplantae; Streptophyta; Magnoliopsida; Vitales; Vitaceae.
AUUGAUUGGUCUAGUAACGACUGAUGUAACAAAGGCCACCUUGAUCCUAUGUCAGUAUAGUUAAUGGACGAGAUUGUUCGGAUAUACCCUAAGGACAUGAUAGCAAAUUUUGAGCUCAUAAGGUUAAGCACAUUUAUUUGAUUACAUAUGCAUGUGGCCUAGUGGGAGAUUGUUAGAUUAAUUUUUGUAAUUAAUCUAUAAUUUGGGCCACACAUGUAAAUAAUUAAAAUGUGUGUGCUAUCAUUUAAUUAAGCCUAAAUAUAGUGAUCUAAUUAAUAAUUGAUUAAUUGGC